This 556-nucleotide unclassified non-coding RNA is filed under the name Schoenoplectus nipponicus. RNAcentral's name for it is "partial miscellaneous RNA". Lineage: Eukaryota; Viridiplantae; Streptophyta; Magnoliopsida; Poales; Cyperaceae. The record is from RNAcentral.
UCAUGGACAUGCUCUGCAUGGCGGGCUCCCUGCACUUCGGUGCGGCCAACCGUCAUGGGGCUGUCUCUUCAUUCUCUGUUCGGUCGGUUCGUACGCUGAUCGGGGAAGCUCGUUACCGGUUGCCUGUGUCGUUCUACCCAUGUGGUAAGCGGAAUCGACGGUCUUGUGCUAGUGUAGACUGCCCUGUUGAUGCUCUGUCGUCAGCGGGUCGGCCGAGGUGCGACGGAAUCCUUUUGUUGCCGUGCGUGUAUGCCAUGGUAUUGCAUUUGGAAGCUCGUCGGGUCUCACGGAUAUGGUGCCCAUUGUGAGCUCUGCAGGCCUAAUGCCUGCAGACCUAACGAGGUUGCCCUUGCAUGGAUCAUUGCUCUCUCUCGCUCCGCGUACACGCCCCGCUUCUGUGGGGCGUGUUGUGUCGGCGCGGUUGAGGGCGUGAUACACGUAUGCGCGGCAUGCCCCUCUAAUCGAAUGACUCGCGAUCGCCGUCAACUGUCGUCAUGAGGCCCUGCCUUCCGGGUAGGCGCCGGAGAUGACGUUCCGGCUAUCGUUUAGGAUGUGC